GCCCCCGUAGUGUAACGGAUAACAUGUCGCGCUUCGGACGCGAAGACUGAGGGUUCGAGUCCUUCCGGGGGCA
This 73-nucleotide transfer RNA is filed under the name Candidatus Nealsonbacteria bacterium RBG_13_38_11. RNAcentral's name for it is "tRNA-Arg". It matches the Rfam family "tRNA". From Rfam's summary of the family: Transfer RNA (tRNA) molecules are approximately 80 nucleotides in length. The record is from RNAcentral. Lineage: Bacteria; Candidatus Nealsoniibacteriota.